GGAAGUAAAAGUCGUAACAAGGUCUCCGUAGGUGAACCUGCGGAGGGAUCAUUACUGAGUGAGGGCCUUCGGGCUCGACCUCCAACCCUUUGUGAACACAACUUGUUGCUUCGGGGGCGACCCUGCCGUUUCGACGGCGAGCGCCCCCGGAGGCCUUCAAACACUGCAUCUUUGCGUCGGAGUUUAAGUAAAUUAAACAAAACUUUCAACAACGGAUCUCUUGGUUCUGGCAUCGAUGAAGAACGCAGCGAAAUGCGAUAAGUAAUGUGAAUUGCAGAAUUCAGUGAAUCAUCGAAUCUUUGAACGCACAUUGCGCCCCUUGGUAUUCCGAGGGGCAUGCCUGUUCGAGCGUCAUUUCACCACUCAAGCCUCGCUUGGUAUUGGGCGCCGCGGUGUUCCGCGCGCCUCAAAGUCUCCGGCUGAGCUGUCCGUCUCUAAGCGUUGUGAUUUCAUUAAUCGCUUCGGAGCGCGGGCGGUCGCGGCCGUUAAAUCUUUCAUAAGGUUGACCUCGGAUCAGGUAGGGAUACCCGCUGAACUUAAGCAUAUCAAUAAGCGGAGGA
RNAcentral lists this ribosomal RNA (560 nucleotides) under Cercospora zebrina. Its description in RNAcentral is "eukaryotic LSU rRNA". The stretch from base 201 to 354 matches the Rfam family "5.8S ribosomal RNA". RNAcentral also lists the same sequence under 1 other name. The record is from RNAcentral. Lineage: Eukaryota; Fungi; Ascomycota; Dothideomycetes; Mycosphaerellales; Mycosphaerellaceae.